GUCUUUGACCUCGGAUCAGGUAGGGAUACCCGCUGAACUUAAGCAUAUCAAUAAGC
This 56-nucleotide ribosomal RNA is filed under the name Paraconiothyrium sp. WA0000017619. RNAcentral's name for it is "partial 28S ribosomal RNA". Lineage: Eukaryota; Fungi; Ascomycota; Dothideomycetes; Pleosporales; Didymosphaeriaceae. The record is from RNAcentral.